AAUGAACGCUGGCGGCAGGCCAAACACAUGCAAGUCGAACGAGGCAGCAAUGCCUAGUGGCGGACGGGUGAGUAACGCGUGGGAACGUGCCCCUUGGUACGGAAUAGCCCUGGGAAACUGGGAGUAAUACCGUAUGUGGUCGAGAGACGAAAGAUUUAUCGCCAAGGGAUCGGCCCGCGUUGGAUUAGGUAGUUGGUGGGGUAAUGGCCUACCAAGCCGAAGAUCCAUAGCUGGUUUGAGAGGAUGAUCAGCCACACUGGGACUGAGACACGGCCCAGACUCCUACGGGAGGCAGCAGUGGGGAAUCUUAGACAAUGGGGGAAACCCUGAUCUAGCCAUGCCGCGUGAUCGAUGAAGGCCUAGGGUUGUAAAGAUCUUUCAGUGGGGAAGAUAAUGACGGUACCCACAGAAGAAGCCCCGGCUAACUCCGUGCCAGCCGCCGCGGUAA
RNAcentral lists this ribosomal RNA (448 nucleotides) under uncultured bacterium. RNAcentral's name for it is "partial 16S ribosomal RNA". It matches the Rfam family "Bacterial small subunit ribosomal RNA", at positions 29 to 523 of the family's 1533-position model. The record is from RNAcentral.